UGGGGAAUUUUGGACAAUGGGCGCAAGCCUGAUCCAGCCAUGCCGCGUGCAGGAUGAAGGCCUUCGGGUUGUAAACUGCUUUUGUACGGAACGAAAAGACUCCUUCUAAUAAAGGGGGUCCAUGACGGUACCGUAAGAAUAAGCACCGGCUAACUACGUGCCAGCAGCCGCGGUAAUACGUAGGGUGCGAGCGUUAAUCGGAAUUACUGGGCGUAAAGCGUGCGCAGGCGGUUAUAUAAGACAGGUGUGAAAUCCCCGGGCUCAACCUGGGAACUGCAUUUGUGACUGUAUAGCUAGAGUACGGCAGAGGGGGAUGGAAUUCCGCGUGUAGCAGUGAAAUGCGUAGAUAUGCGGAGGAACACCGAUGGCGAAGGCGAUCCCCUGGACCUGUACUGACGCUCAUGCACGAAAGCGUGGGGAGCAAACA
This 427-nucleotide ribosomal RNA is filed under the name uncultured bacterium. RNAcentral's name for it is "bacterial SSU rRNA". It matches the Rfam family "Bacterial small subunit ribosomal RNA", at positions 355 to 774 of the family's 1533-position model. The record is from RNAcentral.